RNAcentral lists this ribosomal RNA (253 nucleotides) under uncultured bacterium. Its description in RNAcentral is "partial 16S ribosomal RNA". It matches the Rfam family "Bacterial small subunit ribosomal RNA", at positions 524 to 776 of the family's 1533-position model. The record is from RNAcentral.
UACGUAGGGUGCGAGCGUUAAUCGGAAUUACUGGGCGUAAAGCGUGCGUAGGCGGUUCGUUAAGUCAGCUGUGAAAGCCCCGGGCUUAACCUGGGAACUGCAUUGGUGACUGCAUUGCUGGAGUAUGGCAGAGGGGGGUGGAAUUCCACGUGUAGCAGUGAAAUGCGUAGAGAUGUGGAGGAACACCGAUGGCGAAGGCAGCCCCCUGGGCCAAUACUGACGCUCAUGCACGAAAGCGUGGGGAGCAAACAGG